Molecule: RNA transcript, 1378 nt
Organism: Branchiostoma floridae (Florida lancelet)
Lineage: Eukaryota; Metazoa; Chordata; Leptocardii; Amphioxiformes; Branchiostomatidae
Exons: 4
Source: RefSeq, a predicted model, not a curated record
UAAUGAAAUUACUUGCAGCACAUGACCAGGACCAAUGAUGCCUGAGGGAUGACUGAUUGCUUGACCAAUCACUGACCAGUAAUUAUUUUCACCUGUGUUGGACACACAUUUGUUCAUCUCCCCCAGACCAUUUUCGAUUCUUUUACAACAUGAGGCCUUAACGUUACCUGCUUCUUCUCACGAACUCUCACCAUAACCAGAAAUAUCUACACACGGCAAGGGCUGCCGAAGGGAGAUGCCAACCGUUACCGCUUCGCGACAACACCCCGGGAUCCGGAGAUGUAGAGAAAUAUCCGGGGUCAUCUACGAGACGACCGUGGCGUUUUAUACGCGAGGCGAGGCAGCUAAUUCGAGCCCGUCUCUUUUCAUCUCCAAUCGAUCGGUAUCGGAGGCAAGGGCUGCGAAGGGGGAGGCCAAGGCUCACCGUAGCGCGGGUGCUACACGACACAUUCCGGAAGACGUCGGCAGAAUCUCCGGGUUCAUCUUUGAGGAGAUCCGAGGUGUUCAAACAGCAGGUGGGCGCCUUGGUCUUCCCCAGACAUUUGAAAAGGCAAUGAAGCUGUACAUGUAGUGGUAGCACGCAUCAUGAAAAAGAAUGUCAUUGUCAAGCACGGCGGAGCUGGACAUGUACACGUGUGUCUGUGGGCCAGGGUACACCGGGCACAACUGCUCUGUUGGAAUAGGAGGAAACAACGGUUUGGGUGUGGGUGCCAUUGUAGGUAUUGUUCUCGGGAUCCUGUGCUUCCUGUUACUGCUGGCAACACUUGUCUACUGCUUGAAAAGGAGAUGAAUGGAUGCCUAGAACUCAAAUCCAGACAGAGAUGGCAUCCGAAGCAGCUGGCGAAGAACACGCUCAAUAGCAGUCGGUGCAAAUAGCCCCAGCCCCAGAAUCAGUCGGGGAAACGUCAAAUCACCAUGGCGGUGAACUGGUAAUGGCUUGCUCUACCAAACUGAGGGUUAUGCAAAUUACAUGAACAUGUCUGUCACGGAUUACCGUUGACUGUUCUUUUACAUACCAUAUGGUACCAUAGUGAUAUGUACAUUCUAACCUUAAACCAACCAUAUGGGUACGUCAUCAAUAUGUACCAUACCAACAUUUUUCUUCAGAGAAAAAAAUUCUACGAAUUUGUUUGUAUCUAUAUCUUUAAUACUUUUUACCGAUAUUUGCCCAUUGCUGUAGACGUUAUCUUGAAAUGUUUUGUGUGGCGCUGUGGGGUCCAAACGUAGCAUAUCGUCUUUCCCAAAGCCGUUAGUAACAAUCACGGAUCUUAAGGGAAUCAUUUAGCCACGAAAACAUAACAAUGUAAAAAUAAAUGUAAAACAUGUAUAAAGAUUGUUACAUUCUGUAUAGAGUAGCAGUAAAGUCAAUGUUCUCUAA